AGCGGUGAAAUGCCAAUCGAACUCGGAGAUAGCUGGUUCUCCUCGAAAUGUAUCUAGGUACAGCCUCGUGUGUUUUCUUCUGGGGGUAUGGCUCUGAAUGGACUAGGGGGCAUAGCGCUUACCAAACCCAAUCAAACCGGGAAUACCAGAAGAUUAGAACACGGGAGUGAGACUGCGGGAGCUAACUUCCGUAGUCAAGAGGGAAACAACCCAGACCCCCGGCUAAGGUCCCUAAAUCCAUGCUCAGUGUGCAAGGAUGUCCAGUUGCAUAGACAACCAGGAUGUUGGCUUAGAAGCAGCCAUCAUUUAAAGAGUGCGUAACUGCUCACUGGUCGAGUGGCCGGGCGCCGACAAUGUAACGGGGCUUAAGCAUGGUACCGAAGCUAGGGGACCGCUUUUUAGCGGUCGGUAGAGGAGCGUUCUGUAUGCAAUGAAGCUGUGCGGGUGACCGUCGGUGGAGCGUCCAGAAGUGAGAAUGUAGGCAUGAGUAGCGAAAUUCAGGUGAGAACCCUGAACGCCGUAAGCCCGAGGGAUCCUACGCAAAGCUAAUCCGCGUAGAGUUAGGCGGGCCUAAGCUGAGGGCGAGAGCCGUAAGCGAUGGACAGCAGGUAAGUAUUCCUGCCCCACCAUAUGGGCGUUUGAGAUAUGAGGUGUGACCCGGAAGGAUAGACAGAGCGGAUCCUGUGGACAUGGUCCGUUUCUGCACCGUAGGCGUCUGGCGAUAGGAAAAUCCGUUGCCAGGUUAAGCGGAGGGUGCGGAGGGUAGUGGAGACUUUGUCAAAGCGACUCUGUUGAGUCCAUGCCGGCUAGAAAAGCAUCGAUAUCGAGUGCAUAUGGUGCCCGUACCGCAAACCGACACAGGUGGGCGACGGUAAGUACCGUAAGGCGAACGAGAGAACCUUCGUUAAGGAACUCGGCAAAAUAGCUCCGUAACUUCGGGAGAAGGAGCGCCCUUGUGAGUGAAGCACUUUACGUGCCGAGCAUUACGAGGGCCGCAGUGAGCAGGCCCAGGCGACUGUUUAACAAAAACACAGGUCUCUGCUAACCGGUAACGGGAUGUAUAGGGGCUGACGCCUGCCCAGUGCCGGAAGGUUAAGGAGAUGGCUGAGAGGCCAGAACUGAAGCCCCGGUGAACGGCGGCCGUAACUAUAACGGUCCUAAGGUAGCGAAAUUCCUUGUCGGGUAAGUUCCGACCCGCACGAAUGGCGUAACGAUCUGGGCACUGUCUCAACGAAGGACUCGGCGAAAUUGAGAUGGCCGUGAAGACGCGGCCUACCCGCAGCAGGACAAAUAGACCCCGUGGAGCUUUACUGCAGUUUGGCGCUGGCGUAUGUGAUUAGUUGUAUAGCAUAUGGGGGAGGCUUUGAACCGUGGCCGCUAGGCUGCGGGGAGCCACCAGUGGAAUACCCCACCUCUAAUUUUGUACUCCUCACCAGUGAGCAAGCACUGGGACAGCGCCUGAUGGGCAGUUUGACUGGGGCGGUCGCCUCCGAAAGAGUAACGGAGGCGCGCAAUGGUUCCCUCAAGGUGGAUGGUAAUCACCUGUUGAGUGCAUUGGCAUAAGGGAGCUUGACUGCAAGACUGACAAGUCGAGCAGGGGCGAAAGCCGGCCAAAGUGAUCCUAUGGUCCCGAGUGGAAGGGCCAUGGCUUAACGGAUAGAAGCUACCCCGGGGAUAACAGGCUGAUCCUUCCCAAGAGUUCACAUCGACGGAAGGGUUUGGCACCUCGAUGUCGGCUCGUCGCAUCCUGGGGCUGAAGAAGGU
Molecule: ribosomal RNA, 1764 nt
Filed under: marine metagenome
Description: bacterial LSU rRNA
Rfam family: Bacterial large subunit ribosomal RNA
Source: RNAcentral